Molecule: ribosomal RNA, 445 nt
Filed under: uncultured bacterium
Lineage: Bacteria
Description: partial 16S ribosomal RNA
Rfam family: Bacterial small subunit ribosomal RNA
Source: RNAcentral
AACGAACGCUGGCGGCAGGCUUAACACAUGCAAGUCGAACGAACUGGGGGCUUCGGUCCCCGAUGCUAGUGGCGCACGGGUGAGUAACACUUGGUAAUAUACCCUUUAGUACGGAAUAACCACAGGAAACUUUGGCUAAUACCGUAUACGCCCUUCGGGGGCAAGAUUUAUCGCUAAAGGAUUAGGCCGCGUCAGAUUAAGUGGUGGGUGAGGUAAUAGCUCACCAAGGCGAGGUUCAGUAGCUGGUCGGGGAGGAGGAUCCGCCACACGGGGACUGAGACCCGGCCUAGACUCCUACGCGAGGGAGGAGUGGGGAAUAUAGGACAAGGGGGGCAACCCUGAUCAAGCCAUGCCGCGGAAGUGAAGAAGGGCUUCGGGAUGUAAAGCUGUUUCGACGGAGGCGAGGAUGACGGUACCGGUAUAAGAAGCCCCGGCAAACUUCGUG